CUAAUCCAGACAUCCUCCCCUGGCUGAGAUAUAUGAUCAACUUUGAUAUUUGAUCAAGUUCAUCGCCUGCCUUUGAUUUUCUAAGUUCUUGGCCUGCCUUCAACAAGAAUUUUGUUAGGUGAGUUCAGCAAGAUGGUUCAUACACUUGAUAUCUUCUCUUAGUAACUUUGCAUCCAUUGACCUGCUCGCUUUGCUUGUUGGCUAUAAAUCCCUGUCUUUGCUGUAUUCAGAGGUGAUCAUGAUCACUUUCCCCUAUUGUAAUUGUCUUGACAUCUCUUGCAAUAGUCCUGAAUAAAGUCUUUCUUAUCAUUUUAUCCUUGCAGUGUUGGGUCAGGUUUCGAGGAUGAAAGUGUCAGAAUAAGUUUUUAUUUAACACCAUAUCUAGCAACACUUCAGGGUAAGAACUACAGCCUGAGACUCCACCUGCUAUGAUUUGAAUGUAUCCCACAAAUUUCAUGUGUUGAAAAUUUAAUCCACAAAUUCA
RNAcentral lists this long non-coding RNA (484 nucleotides) under Homo sapiens (human). Its description in RNAcentral is "HSALNT0277250". The record is from RNAcentral. Lineage: Eukaryota; Metazoa; Chordata; Mammalia; Primates; Hominidae.